Molecule: long non-coding RNA, 350 nt
Filed under: Salvia miltiorrhiza (redroot sage)
Lineage: Eukaryota; Viridiplantae; Streptophyta; Magnoliopsida; Lamiales; Lamiaceae
Description: long non-coding RNA (SMIL_LNC012804)
Source: RNAcentral
UCCUAAAUUAUUUAAGUACGGAGCAAGACGAAUUUUAAAUCUUUUCUUGUUUGAUUUUGAUGAUUGGGGAUAUUUUCUUCUUUUUUUUUGGUUUGCGACAGAAUGUUGUUCAGCGACAGAUUGUCGUCACUUGGAAUAUCAAUGUAGUCAUCAAACUUUUUCUUGGAUGCUCUUCUUUUUUUCUUUUGGGGGUCUGUAGGCUGCAACUCCAUCGUAGAUUUUUUCUUUCUAGACGGGAUUACUCUUUUUGAUUUUUCGGGUGAAUUUUUAUUUUCUUCCUCUUGAGUGGGCUCUUCCUCUAUUUCUCCAACAUCGAUGCUUUCCAUCGGUUGCAUCUUUUGGAUUGCAUU